This 283-nucleotide non-coding RNA is filed under the name Pediculus humanus corporis (human body louse). Lineage: Eukaryota; Metazoa; Arthropoda; Insecta; Psocodea; Pediculidae. The record is from RNAcentral.
GCUGGGAGUGGUGGUGGUGGUGUAGUCCUGUAAUCCAACAAUUCGGAGGCUAGGUAUAGAGGAUGUUUUACUUUAAUUACUUUUACUGAAAUUAGAUUUUCUACGUUGAUUAAACAACCGCUAGGGGUAAAUCAUCAACUUGAAUGCCUUGAGGGGGCCCGAGGUGACCAGGUUAAGUCAUAAAAAAGGGGGAAAAUUGGCUGGAAAGGCACCGAAAAUCGUGAGUUCAAAACCUGGGAGUGGGAAUUUCAGCUCGUUCAAACAAGAACAGACCGGUACCUUA